Molecule: ribosomal RNA, 468 nt
Filed under: uncultured beta proteobacterium
Lineage: Bacteria; Pseudomonadati; Pseudomonadota; Betaproteobacteria
Description: bacterial SSU rRNA
Rfam family: Bacterial small subunit ribosomal RNA
Source: RNAcentral
AUUGACGCUGCCGCUGAGCUUGACACAUGCUGGUCGGAACAAGGGUGGCCAUUCGAUUUAGCCUGGAGUGUUUUACGGCGGAGCUCAGACAUCCGACCGUACCUGGCUGGGGGGGAUAACUACUCGAAAGAGUGGCUAAUACCGCAUACGCCCUACGGGGGAAAGGGGGGGAUCGCAAGACCUCUCACUAUUAGAGCGGCCGAUAUCGGAUUAGCUAGUUGGUGAGGUAAAGGCUCACCAAGGCGACGAUCCGUAGCUGGUUUGAGAGGACGACCAGCCACACUGGGACUGAGACACGGCCCAGACUCCUACGGGAGGCAGCAGUGGGGAAUUUUGGACAAUGGGGGCAACCCUGAUCCAGCCAUUCCGCGUGUGCGAUGAAGGCCUUCGGGUUGUAAAGCACUUUUGGCAGGAAAGAAAUCGCACCGAUUAAUACUUGGUGUGGAUGACGGUACCUGCAGAAUAAGC